AGCGAACGCUGGCGGCAGGCCUAACACAUGCAAGUCGAACGAGCUCUUCGGAGUUAGUGGCGGACGGGUGAGUAACACGUGGGAACGUGCCUUUAGGUUCGGAAUAACUCAGGGAAACUUGUGCUAAUACCGAAUGUGCCCUUCGGGGGAAAGAUUUAUCGCCUUUAGAGCGGCCCGCGUCUGAUUAGCGAGUUGGUGAGGUAAAGGCUCACCAAGGCGACGAUCAGUAGCUGGUCUGAGAGGAUGAUCAGCCACAUUGGGACUGAGACACGGCCCAAACUCCUACGGGAGGCAGCAGGGGGGAAUCUUGCGCAAUGGGCGAAAGCCUGACGCAGCCAUGCCGCGUGAAUGAUGGAGGUCUUAGGAUUGUAAAAUUCUUUCACCGGGGACGAUAAUGACGGUACCCGGAGAAGAAGCCCCGGCUAACUUCGUGCCAGCAGCCGCCGUAA
Molecule: ribosomal RNA, 449 nt
Filed under: uncultured bacterium
Lineage: Bacteria
Description: partial 16S ribosomal RNA
Rfam family: Bacterial small subunit ribosomal RNA
Source: RNAcentral